Molecule: unclassified non-coding RNA, 332 nt
Filed under: soil metagenome
Description: partial contains 5.8S ribosomal RNA, internal transcribed spacer 2, and large subunit ribosomal RNA
Rfam family: 5.8S ribosomal RNA (bases 1-120)
Source: RNAcentral
GAUGAAGAACGUAGCAAAAUGCGAUAAGUAAUGUGAAUUGCAGAAUUCAGUGAAUCAUCGAAUCUUUGAACGCACAUUGCGCCCGCCAGUAUUCUGGCGGGCAUGCCUGUUCGAGCGUCAUUUCAACCCUCAAGCACAGCUUGGUGUUGGGACUCGCGUUAAUUCGCGUUCCCCAAAUUGAUUGGCGGUCACGUCGAGCUUCCAUAGCGUAGUAGUAAAACCCUCGUUACUGGUAAUCGUCGCGGCCACGCCGUUAAACCCCAACUUCUGAAUGUUGACCUCGGAUCAGGUAGGAAUACCCGCUGAACUUAAGCAUAUCAAUAAGCCGAGGA